Molecule: small nuclear RNA, 190 nt
Organism: Sorex araneus (European shrew)
Lineage: Eukaryota; Metazoa; Chordata; Mammalia; Eulipotyphla; Soricidae
Product: U2 spliceosomal RNA
Exons: 1
Source: RefSeq, a predicted model, not a curated record
AUCAAUUCUAGGAAUUUGGGCUAAGAUCAAGUGUAUUAUCUGUUCUUUUCAGUUUAAUAGCUGAUACAUCCUCUAUCUGAGGACAAUAUAUUAAAUGGAUUUUUGGAACUAGGAUUGGAAUAGGAGCUUGCUCCAUCCACUCCACACAUUGACCUGGUAUUGCAGUGCCUCCAGGAAUGGUGCACACACA